RNAcentral lists this ribosomal RNA (863 nucleotides) under Pseudomonas fluorescens. RNAcentral's name for it is "bacterial SSU rRNA". It matches the Rfam family "Bacterial small subunit ribosomal RNA", at positions 23 to 882 of the family's 1533-position model. The record is from RNAcentral. Lineage: Bacteria; Pseudomonadati; Pseudomonadota; Gammaproteobacteria; Pseudomonadales; Pseudomonadaceae.
CGCAGAUGAACGCUGGCGGCAGGCCUAACACAUGCAAGUCGAGCGGUAGAGAGGUGCUUGCACCUCUUGAGAGCGGCGGACGGGUGAGUAAUGCCUAGGAAUCUGCCUGGUAGUGGGGGAUAACGCUCGGAAACGGACGCUAAUACCGCAUACGUCCUACGGGAGAAAGCAGGGGACCUUCGGGCCUUGCGCUAUCAGAUGAGCCUAGGUCGGAUUAGCUAGUUGGUGGGGUAAUGGCUCACCAAGGCGACGAUCCGUAACUGGUCUGAGAGGAUGAUCAGUCACACUGGAACUGAGACACGGUCCAGACUCCUACGGGAGGCAGCAGUGGGGAAUAUUGGACAAUGGGCGAAAGCCUGAUCCAGCCAUGCCGCGUGUGUGAAGAAGGUCUUCGGAUUGUAAAGCACUUUAAGUUGGGAGGAAGGGCAUUAACCUAAUACGUUAGUGUUUUGACGUUACCGACAGAAUAAGCACCGGCUAACUCUGUGCCAGCAGCCGCGGUAAUACAGAGGGUGCAAGCGUUAAUCGGAAUUACUGGGCGUAAAGCGCGCGUAGGUGGUUCGUUAAGUUGGAUGUGAAAUCCCCGGGCUCAACCUGGGAACUGCAUUCAAAACUGUCGAGCUAGAGUAUGGUAGAGGGUGGUGGAAUUUCCUGUGUAGCGGUGAAAUGCGUAGAUAUAGGAAGGAACACCAGUGGCGAAGGCGACCACCUGGACUGAUACUGACACUGAGGUGCGAAAGCGUGGGGAGCAAACAGGAUUAGAUACCCUGGUAGUCCACGCCGUAAACGAUGUCAACUAGCCGUUGGGAGCCUUGAGCUCUUAGUGGCGCAGCUAACGCAUUAAGUGACCGCCUGGGAGACCA